Long non-coding RNA from Engraulis encrasicolus (European anchovy), 1105 nucleotides. RefSeq lists it as uncharacterized. The record is from RefSeq and is a predicted model, not a curated record. Lineage: Eukaryota; Metazoa; Chordata; Actinopteri; Clupeiformes; Engraulidae. The transcript is spliced from 5 exons.
ACAUUUUUUACCAUAUCAUCUGAAAAACUCCUCAUGACGCCAUAGCACCCAUUAAAAUAGAGUGUUUGGAAAAAAAACGAAAUCUUUUGGUCCAGUGUAGAGGGCGUAGUCAGAAGAAAACGGCAACCAAUAGAAGUAAUACUCAUCAUCACUUCUAUUGGUUUCUGACACGUCCAUCAACCGCCAGCACUCACCCCUCCUCCCUGCGCGUUCACCGACUCGUGAACUUGACCGACCCCGCCCCCAUUAUUCAUGCACACGCGACGAGGCUCAUCAUCACUCGGCUAGUAGCAAGGUAACGAGAGUUAGCAGCAGGCUGAGCUACUUGGAAACUUUGGUGGCUUUUGCAGAGCUACAGGAAGAACUUUAGCUUUUGGAACACUGGACUAACCAUGUCAGGAUAACAUACUCCCUUGGAUUAUAGUCAUCGGACUCGCAAGACCAGACUCCAACACGGGCUGAAAAUUGGACAUGGGACCUGACACUCUUGGACACAGAUGUCGGCUACGGCAGCGGCUUCAAAUACGCUUUGGUGACCAUAUUUCUAAUCGAGAGUUGUGCGAACGAGCCAGACAAACCAGCUGGGAGGACGGAAGCACCCCUUCUCCACCUGCGUUCAGUAACUACGGAUUCAUCCCGUGGUCAACAGCAGACAGGGUCCUUCCACAACCACAUACUUAUGCCAGUAAAAGCUACAGCUUUUCUCCUCCGAUCCAAGAAGCCUGGACUGCAGUCACCAUCUCAACACACCAACCAAGAGAAAGGCGGAUGGCUCAAUUCAAUAUGGAAAAUUGCACAAUAAAAGUUCCAGGACAUGAAGGCUGCAUACUGUGAACGUCAACCUUCAGGGCACCGUCCUGCGCAGAAGACUUUCUACCCUAAGAGGGAUGGCUGACCGCAGACACUCACAACCAGCACAGACGCCUCCAACCUCAGACUAGGCCCUUCACAGUUGCUGCACUUACCCACCUUCCCCGAGUUUUUGUGUGGUAAUGACAUGUAAAUAUAGUAUAAAGUAAUGUAUCUAGUGUCAUGUGUAAUACAUUGUUUAAAUUGUCCAUACAUUUCAAUGACGGUAAAUAUUGGUGGACACAAUUUGACUGUG